UUCCUUGUGGUUCAGUGGUUAAGACUCUGUAUUUCCAGUGCAGGGGGCCCAAGUUCGAUCCCUGGUCAGGGAA
Molecule: transfer RNA, 73 nt
Filed under: Bos taurus (domestic cattle)
Lineage: Eukaryota; Metazoa; Chordata; Mammalia; Artiodactyla; Bovidae
Also listed under: 5 other names
Rfam family: tRNA
About the family: Transfer RNA (tRNA) molecules are approximately 80 nucleotides in length. Their secondary structure includes four short double-helical elements and three loops (D, anti-codon, and T loops).
Source: Rfam by way of RNAcentral